AGAGAGAGAGAGAGAGAGAGAGCCCAAAAAAGUAAAAGUAGAAUUACCAGAUGCCAAAGGUGAAAGUGAAAGGUUGGCUUAGGGUAAAACCGGAGCAAUGUACAGAGCGGUAAAAUCUGGUCAGGUACUGGACUGCUGUUCUUGUUGGAAUGACGGUGGUACGACGCCGUUUAUAGAACCACCAGACAAGUUGCGAUGCAACCGUAAUGACGGCAAGGGCUGGCGUUGCAACCGCUGGAGGAUCCAGGACAAGAUGUGUUGUGAGCUCCAUUACCUCCAAAACGUCCACAAGUCGAGGAAGGAGAAGAAGAAGAGGCAGAAGGGAAGGGAAGAUGUAAAUAAGGCUCAAAGCAGCGGAUUUUCUGCUGCUGCGAAGAGGCGUCGCCGUGAAGAUUAUGAAGCGGAAGAAGAAGAGGACGUUAUUCCGGCGAAGAGGCAGAGGAAGAAAUUGAUACUUGAAGAGAAGUCUGGGGUGACAUCGGUGAAUAAAGGGAAGAGUGUGGAUGCCAAAUUUGGUAUUUUGAAGAAGGAGAGUAGUGCGGCAGAGAGGCCUAAAGAAGAAGACGAAGACGAAGAGGUGAUUUCUGAGGAGGAAAAGAAGAAAAAGAGUUUAUUAAAAAAGAAGACGAAGCUAGGUGAGGUUGAGGCUUCGAAGGAGCAGAAGGGGCAAAAAGGGAAUGGUGUAGAGAUUAAGGAGAAGAAACAGAAGAACAAGAGUGAAGGAGUGAAAUUGUUGGAUAGGAAAGCUAGGAGUAAAGAGAAGCUAAGGAAACUGUUCAAAUGGGAGAAGGAGCUUGAUAAUGUUGUGGACAAUUUAUUUCAGCAACAGUUGAUUACAAGUGGAACCAAAAGGAAACGUAGUAGUAGUGAUACCAUUGUGGGUCAGCCUUCAGUUUUGACUAUUUAUUUACUCAGCAAUUGUUUUAUUUUAUUUGAAAUGGUACUAUUAAUUUAUUUUUAAUAUUUUCUUGUGCAAAGAAUCUUGCCAAAGCCGAUCUUAAGGAGGAAGUUAAUUAUUCAUCAUGCCAUCAAUGCCGGAAGAGUGAUAGAAAGGUGGUUAUGUGCCGAAAAUGCAACGAUAAAUGCUAUUGUUCCUCUUGCAUUAGGAGAUGGUAUCCUAAAAUGUCAGAGGAAGCAUUGGCAGAGGCCUGCCCAUUUUGUCUGGGACAUUGCAAUUGCAAAGCGUGUUUGCAAAGAACUGAAACAAUUAAUGAUGCCAAAAGUUCAGGAAUGCCAGUAAAUAGAGAUGAAAAGGUCAAGCACUUGAAGUAUCUCAUACAUGUUCUGUGUCCCUUCCUGAGUCAGUUUAAUUGUGCUCAAAUGAUGGAAAAAGAGAUGGAAGCAAAUAUUCAAGGGUUGUCUUUGUCAGAGCUAGAGUUGCAGCAGGCUGUUUGUCAUAGUGAUGAGCGUUCAUAUUGCAAUAACUGUUCAACUUCUAUAGUUGAUUUCCAUAGGAGUUGCCCAAAUUGUUCAUAUGAUCUUUGCCUUACUUGCUGUCGUGAAAUUCGUGAUGGCUGCUUGCGAGGUGGAGAUGAAAUGUUGGUUGAAUAUUGGGACCGGCAGAAGGCUUGCUUACAUGCUGGAGAACCUGAUCCAACAUCUUCAGAAGAGAGCAAAUCUUAUAGCAGAAUUAAGUCAGAUUUGGAACAUUGUAGGAGGGCGAUAUCUGAGUGGAAAGCAAAGGAAAAUGGUGACAUCCCUUGUCCACCAAAAAACUUGGGUGGAUGUGGACAUCACCGUUUGGAGCUAAGGAGCAUUUUUCCAGAUGGUUGGGUUUUAGAAUUGAAGGAUAAAGUAAACAAGUUACUUAAAAUCCAUAAACUUAGUGAUGUGCCAAAAUAUUCUAGGGAACGCUGUCAAUGUUCUAGAUCAAAUGGUGAUAUCAAAUCCAGUAAUAAGAAUUUGCGGAAUGUUGCCUCUCGAAAAGAUUCUAGAGACAACUAUCUGUACUGCCCCUCAGCUAUUGAUAUCCAACAGGGGGAUCUGGACCAUUUCCAGGCACAUUGGAUUAGGGGAGAACCCGUGAUUGUCAGAGAUGUUCUCAAUUUAACCUCUGGCUUGAGCUGGGAGCCAAUGGUUAUGUGCCGUGCAAUUUGUGAGAUAACAUAUGCUGGUUCUUCAGAUUUGGUGGUGAAAGCAAUUGAUUGUCUUGACUGGUGUGAGGUUGAGAUAAAUAUUCGCCAAUUUUUUAAAGGGUAUUCAGAUGGUCGCGCUCACUCUAACUUAUGGCCUGAGAUGCUCAAGCUUAAAGAUUGGCCUCCAUCUAAUCUCUUUGGAGAGUGCUUACCGCGCCAUAAUAUGGAAUUUAUCAGUGCCUUGCCAUAUUUAGAGUAUACAGAUCCUCACUCUGGCAUUCUGAAUGUUGCUGCAAAGGUGCCCUCAAAUAUACUGAAACCAGACUUGGGACCAAAAACUUAUAUAGCUUAUGGAUUUGCUGAAGAGCUUGGACGUGGAGAUUCUG
This 2461-nucleotide unclassified non-coding RNA is filed under the name Hevea brasiliensis (rubber tree). The record is from RNAcentral. Lineage: Eukaryota; Viridiplantae; Streptophyta; Magnoliopsida; Malpighiales; Euphorbiaceae.